Mycena leptocephala is the source of this 95-nucleotide non-coding RNA. The record is from the annotation of a GenBank genome assembly. Lineage: Eukaryota; Fungi; Basidiomycota; Agaricomycetes; Agaricales; Mycenaceae.
GCGGAUGUGGUGUACGGUGCACCGCUGCUCUAUAUUGCUCUCAUUAGAUUUAGUUGAGUGAAGCAGUUAUCGGGGUUCGACUCCCUGCGUCUGUA